This is a non-coding RNA of Acanthosepion pharaonis, 113 nucleotides long. The record is from the annotation of a GenBank genome assembly. NCBI's taxonomy places the organism in Eukaryota, Metazoa, Mollusca, Cephalopoda, Sepiida, Sepiidae.
UUACGGCCACAUCAUGUUAAAACACCGGUUUCCGUACGAUUACUGUAGUUAAGCAACAACGAGUCUGGUCAGUAAAUAGAUGGGUUACCGCAAGGGAAUACCAGGCACUGUAA